GCGGAAGUAGUUCAGCGGUAGAAUACCACCUUGCCAAGGUGGGGGUCGCGGGUUCGAAUCCCGUCUUCCGCUUCA
Molecule: transfer RNA, 75 nt
Filed under: Pueribacillus theae
Lineage: Bacteria; Bacillati; Bacillota; Bacilli; Caryophanales; Bacillaceae
Description: tRNA-Gly
Rfam family: tRNA
About the family: Transfer RNA (tRNA) molecules are approximately 80 nucleotides in length.
Source: RNAcentral